RNAcentral lists this ribosomal RNA (514 nucleotides) under uncultured bacterium. RNAcentral's name for it is "partial 16S ribosomal RNA". It matches the Rfam family "Bacterial small subunit ribosomal RNA", at positions 28 to 523 of the family's 1533-position model. The record is from RNAcentral.
GAUGAACGCUGGCGGCGUGCCUAAUACAUGCAAGUCGAGCGAAUGGAUUAAGAGCUUGCUCUUAUGAAGUUAGCGGCGGACGGGUGAGUAACACGUGGGUAACCUGCCCAUAAGACUGGGAUAACUCCGGGAAACCGGGGCUAAUACCGGAUAACAUUUUGAACCGCAUGGUUCGAAAUUGAAAGGCGGCUUCGGCUGUCACUUAUGGAUGGACCCGCGUCGCAUUAGCUAGUUGGUGAGGUAACGGCUCACCAAGGCAACGAUGCGUAGCCGACCUGAGAGGGUGAUCGGCCACACUGGGACUGAGACACGGCCCAGACGCCUACGGGAGGCAGCAGUAGGGAAUCUUCCGCAAUGGACGAAAGUCUGACGGAGCAACGCCGCGUGAGUGAUGAAGGCUUUCGGGUCGUAAAACUCUGUUGUUAAGGAAGAACAAGUGCUAGUUGAAUAAGCUGGCACCUUGACGGUACCUAACCAGAAGCCACGGCUAACUACGUGCCAGCCGCCGCGGUAA